ACCCUCCAGUUUCCUUUGCCAUCAAAUCUGCACUGCUCUCAGUGGUUAUAAAAGGAGGGAAAGCACCACUAAAAUGGACUUCAGUGCGUUUGUAGCACCAGGGCUUGUUUCAGCUUCAA
RNAcentral lists this small nucleolar RNA (119 nucleotides) under Echinops telfairi (small Madagascar hedgehog). RNAcentral describes it as "Small nucleolar RNA SNORA61 (ENSETEG00000025147.1)". Lineage: Eukaryota; Metazoa; Chordata; Mammalia; Afrosoricida; Tenrecidae. The record is from RNAcentral.